Molecule: ribosomal RNA, 2902 nt
Filed under: Escherichia coli
Lineage: Bacteria; Pseudomonadati; Pseudomonadota; Gammaproteobacteria; Enterobacterales; Enterobacteriaceae
Also listed under: 1 other name
Description: bacterial LSU rRNA
Rfam family: Bacterial large subunit ribosomal RNA
Source: RNAcentral
UUAAGCGACUAAGCGUACACGGUGGAUGCCCUGGCAGUCAGAGGCGAUGAAGGACGUGCUAAUCUGCGAUAAGCGUCGGUAAGGUGAUAUGAACCGUUAUAACCGGCGAUUUCCGAAUGGGGAAACCCAGUGUGUUUCGACACACUAUCAUUAACUGAAUCCAUAGGUUAAUGAGGCGAACCGGGGGAACUGAAACAUCUAAGUACCCCGAGGAAAAGAAAUCAACCGAGAUUCCCCCAGUAGCGGCGAGCGAACGGGGAGCAGCCCAGAGCCUGAAUCAGUAUGUGUGUUAGUGGAAGCGUCUGGAAAGGCGCGCGAUACAGGGUGACAGCCCCGUACACAAAAAUGCACAUGCUGUGAGCUCGAUGAGUAGGGCGGGACACGUGGUAUCCUGUCUGAAUAUGGGGGGACCAUCCUCCAAGGCUAAAUACUCCUGACUGACCGAUAGUGAACCAGUACCGUGAGGGAAAGGCGAAAAGAACCCCGGCGAGGGGAGUGAAAAAGAACCUGAAACCGUGUACGUACAAGCAGUGGGAGCACGCUUAGGCGUGUGACUGCGUACCUUUUGUAUAAUGGGUCAGCGACUUAUAUUCUGUAGCAAGGUUAACCGAAUAGGGGAGCCGAAGGGAAACCGAGUCUUAACUGGGCGUUAAGUUGCAGGGUAUAGACCCGAAACCCGGUGAUCUAGCCAUGGGCAGGUUGAAGGUUGGGUAACACUAACUGGAGGACCGAACCGACUAAUGUUGAAAAAUUAGCGGAUGACUUGUGGCUGGGGGUGAAAGGCCAAUCAAACCGGGAGAUAGCUGGUUCUCCCCGAAAGCUAUUUAGGUAGCGCCUCGUGAAUUCAUCUCCGGGGGUAGAGCACUGUUUCGGCAAGGGGGUCAUCCCGACUUACCAACCCGAUGCAAACUGCGAAUACCGGAGAAUGUUAUCACGGGAGACACACGGCGGGUGCUAACGUCCGUCGUGAAGAGGGAAACAACCCAGACCGCCAGCUAAGGUCCCAAAGUCAUGGUUAAGUGGGAAACGAUGUGGGAAGGCCCAGACAGCCAGGAUGUUGGCUUAGAAGCAGCCAUCAUUUAAAGAAAGCGUAAUAGCUCACUGGUCGAGUCGGCCUGCGCGGAAGAUGUAACGGGGCUAAACCAUGCACCGAAGCUGCGGCAGCGACGCUGAUGCGUUGUUGGGUAGGGGAGCGUUCUGUAAGCCUGCGAAGGUGUGCUGUGAGGCAUGCUGGAGGUAUCAGAAGUGCGAAUGCUGACAUAAGUAACGAUAAAGCGGGUGAAAAGCCCGCUCGCCGGAAGACCAAGGGUUCCUGUCCAACGUUAAUCGGGGCAGGGUGAGUCGACCCCUAAGGCGAGGCCGAAAGGCGUAGUCGAUGGGAAACAGGUUAAUAUUCCUGUACUUGGUGUUACUGCGAAGGGGGGACGGAGAAGGCUAUGUUGGCCGGGCGACGGUUGUCCCGGUUUAAGCGUGUAGGCUGGUUUUCCAGGCAAAUCCGGAAAAUCAAGGCUGAGGCGUGAUGACGAGGCACUACGGUGCUGAAGCAACAAAUGCCCUGCUUCCAGGAAAAGCCUCUAAGCAUCAGGUAACAUCAAAUCGUACCCCAAACCGACACAGGUGGUCAGGUAGAGAAUACCAAGGCGCUUGAGAGAACUCGGGUGAAGGAACUAGGCAAAAUGGUGCCGUAACUUCGGGAGAAGGCACGCUGAUAUGUAGGUGAAGUCCCUCGCGGAUGGAGCUGAAAUCAGUCGAAGAUACCAGCUGGCUGCAACUGUUUAUUAAAAACACAGCACUGUGCAAACACGAAAGUGGACGUAUACGGUGUGACGCCUGCCCGGUGCCGGAAGGUUAAUUGAUGGGGUUAGCGCAAGCGAAGCUCUUGAUCGAAGCCCCGGUAAACGGCGGCCGUAACUAUAACGGUCCUAAGGUAGCGAAAUUCCUUGUCGGGUAAGUUCCGACCUGCACGAAUGGCGUAAUGAUGGCCAGGCUGUCUCCACCCGAGACUCAGUGAAAUUGAACUCGCUGUGAAGAUGCAGUGUACCCGCGGCAAGACGGAAAGACCCCGUGAACCUUUACUAUAGCUUGACACUGAACAUUGAGCCUUGAUGUGUAGGAUAGGUGGGAGGCUUUGAAGUGUGGACGCCAGUCUGCAUGGAGCCGACCUUGAAAUACCACCCUUUAAUGUUUGAUGUUCUAACGUUGACCCGUAAUCCGGGUUGCGGACAGUGUCUGGUGGGUAGUUUGACUGGGGCGGUCUCCUCCUAAAGAGUAACGGAGGAGCACGAAGGUUGGCUAAUCCUGGUCGGACAUCAGGAGGUUAGUGCAAUGGCAUAAGCCAGCUUGACUGCGAGCGUGACGGCGCGAGCAGGUGCGAAAGCAGGUCAUAGUGAUCCGGUGGUUCUGAAUGGAAGGGCCAUCGCUCAACGGAUAAAAGGUACUCCGGGGAUAACAGGCUGAUACCGCCCAAGAGUUCAUAUCGACGGCGGUGUUUGGCACCUCGAUGUCGGCUCAUCACAUCCUGGGGCUGAAGUAGGUCCCAAGGGUAUGGCUGUUCGCCAUUUAAAGUGGUACGCGAGCUGGGUUUAGAACGUCGUGAGACAGUUCGGUCCCUAUCUGCCGUGGGCGCUGGAGAACUGAGGGGGGCUGCUCCUAGUACGAGAGGACCGGAGUGGACGCAUCACUGGUGUUCGGGUUGUCAUGCCAAUGGCACUGCCCGGUAGCUAAAUGCGGAAGAGAUAAGUGCUGAAAGCAUCUAAGCACGAAACUUGCCCCGAGAUGAGUUCUCCCUGACUCCUUGAGAGUCCUGAAGGAACGUUGAAGACGACGACGUUGAUAGGCCGGGUGUGUAAGCGCAGCGAUGCGUUGAGCUAACCGGUACUAAUGAACCGUGAGGCUUAACCUU